UACGAACCGUGCGAACGUUAUUCGGAAUCACUGGGCUUAAAGGGCGCGUAGGCGGGCUCUCAAGUCAGGGGUGAAAUCUUUCAGCUUAACUGGAAAACAGCCCCUGAUACUGCGAGUCUCGAGGGAGGUAGGGGCAUGUGGAACUUCCGGUGGAGCGGUGAAAUGCGUAGAUAUCGGAAGGAACGCCGGUGGCGAAAGCGACGUGCUGGACCUCUUCUGACGCUGAGGCGCGAAAGCUAGGGGAGCAAACGGG
RNAcentral lists this ribosomal RNA (253 nucleotides) under uncultured bacterium. RNAcentral describes it as "partial 16S ribosomal RNA". It matches the Rfam family "Bacterial small subunit ribosomal RNA", at positions 524 to 776 of the family's 1533-position model. The record is from RNAcentral.